Molecule: non-coding RNA, 101 nt
Organism: Strongylocentrotus purpuratus (purple sea urchin)
Lineage: Eukaryota; Metazoa; Echinodermata; Echinoidea; Camarodonta; Strongylocentrotidae
Gene: Mir33
Product: microRNA mir-33
Exons: 1
Source: RefSeq, marked provisional
AUCUCUUUCUUGUAGCCAUGGUGCAUUGUCGUUGCAUUGCAUGUGUCUCUAUACCCCUAUGUAGUGCAAGAACAGUGCAAUAUGGAGGCAAGAUAAGCAGC